GAUGAACGCUGGCGGCGUGCCUAAUACAUGCCAGUCGAGCGAACAGACGAGGAGCUUGCUCCUCUGACGUUAGCGGCGGACGGGUGAGUAACACGUGGAUAACCUACCUAUCAGACUGGGAUAACUUCGGGAAACCGGAGCUAAUACCGGAUAAUAUAUUGAACCGCAUGGUUCAAUAGUGAAAGACGGCUUUGCUGUCACUUAUAGAUGGAUCCGCGCCGCAUUAGCUAGUUGGUAAGGUAACGGCUUACCAAGGCAACGAUGCGUAGCCGACCGGAGAGGGGGAUCGGCCACACUGGAACGGGAACACGGUCCAGACGCCUACGGGAGGCAGCAGUAGGGAAUCUGCCGCAGUGGGCGAAAGCCUGACGGAGCAACGGCGCGUGAGUUAUGGAGGUCUUCGGAGCGUAAAACUCUGUUAUUAGGGAAGAACAAAUGUGUAAGUAACUAUGCACGUCUUGACGGUACCUAAUCAGAAAGCCACGGCUAACUACGUG
RNAcentral lists this ribosomal RNA (497 nucleotides) under uncultured bacterium. RNAcentral's name for it is "partial 16S ribosomal RNA". It matches the Rfam family "Bacterial small subunit ribosomal RNA", at positions 28 to 507 of the family's 1533-position model. The record is from RNAcentral.